AUCUAUGGGCUCAGUUCUUCUGG
RNAcentral lists this microRNA (23 nucleotides) under Salmo salar (Atlantic salmon). RNAcentral describes it as "ssa-miR-146a-3p". Its record names the gene ssa-miR-146a-3p. The record is from miRBase by way of RNAcentral. Lineage: Eukaryota; Metazoa; Chordata; Actinopteri; Salmoniformes; Salmonidae.